GACUACUAGGGUAUCUAAUCCCGUUUGCUCCCCUAGCUUUCGCACCUCAGCGUCAGUUGUGGACCAGAGAGCCGCCUUCGCCACCGGUGUUCCUCCUGAUAUCUACGCAUUUCACCGCUCCACCAGGAGUUCCGCUCUCCCCUACCACACUCGAGCAUCGCAGUCUGCCAGGCAGUUCCACGGGUAAGCCGUGGGAUUUCACCCCACACUUGCGAUGCCGCCUACGUGCGCUUUAAGCCCAGUAAUUCCGAACAACGUUUGCACUCUCUGUAUUACCGCGGCUGCUGGCACAGAGUUAGCCAGUGCUUCCUCUCGAGCUUACGUCAAGGCAUACGGCUGUUCGCCGCAUACCCUUCUUAACUCGUGACAGGAGUUUACAACCCGAAGGCCUUCGUCCUCCACGCGGCGUCGCUCCGUCAGGCUUUCGCCCAUUGCGGAAGAUUCUCGACUGCAGCCCCCCGUAGG
RNAcentral lists this ribosomal RNA (465 nucleotides) under uncultured bacterium. RNAcentral's name for it is "partial 16S ribosomal RNA". The record is from RNAcentral.